CGAGCACGCGCGUGUGGCAUAUCAAUAAGCGGAGGAAAAGAAACUAACAAGGAUUCCCCUAGUAACGGCGAGUGAAGCGGGAAGAGCUCAAAUUUGAAAUCUUCAAGGUUCUACCUUGACGAAUUGUAGUUUAUAGAAGUGUUUUCUGUUAGUAGGAGUGGCAAAAGUUCUUUGGAAUAGGACAUCAUAGAGGGUGAGAAUCCCGUAUUUGGUCAUUCCUCCUAGCUUUGUGAUACACUUUCAACGAGUCGGAUUGUUUGGGAAUGCAGUCCAAAAUGGGUGGUAAAUUUCAUCUAAAGCUAAAUAUUGGCGAGAGACCGAUAGCGAACAAGUACCGUGAGGGAAAGAUGAAAAGAACUUUGAAAAGAGAGUCAAACAGUACGUGAAAUUGUCAAAAGGGAAGCGUUUGACACCAGUGUUGUUUUUCCGAAAAUCAAUUACGAAUGUUUUAUUUUUGAGGAGUUAUGACUUCAUCGGCUUGCUUCUCUCUUUAUGAAACUUUCUUAAUGCACUUUUCGGUUAACAAGUCAACAUCAAUUUCUUUUGUUGUAAAAGGGUAUGAGGAAGGCUGGCUUUCUUUUCGGAGAAAGUGUUUAUAGCCUUGUACCUCUGCAAUCGGAGAGAUUGAGGUCUGCAGCGUAGAUCCUUCGGGGUUAGAUACAGUUUGUGCUAAGUUAUAGCUUUUCAUAGACAACUUGUUGACUAUGUUUAGUCUUGUAGCUUACUCGCUUAUGCUAUUUUACCUACGCUUAGGAUGUUGAUGUGAUACUGCGAGCA
Molecule: ribosomal RNA, 777 nt
Filed under: uncultured Neocallimastigales
Lineage: Eukaryota; Fungi; Neocallimastigomycota; Neocallimastigomycetes; Neocallimastigales
Description: partial large subunit ribosomal RNA
Rfam family: Eukaryotic large subunit ribosomal RNA
Source: RNAcentral